GGAAUAUUGCGCAAUGGGCGAAAGCCUGACGCAGCGACGCCGCGUGUGGGAUGACGGCCUUCGGGUUGUAAACCACUGUCGGGAGGGACGAAGAUCUGAUGGUACCUCCAAAGGCAGCACCGGCUAACUCUGUGCCCGCAGCCGCGGUAAUACCGAGGGGGCAAGCGUUGUCCGGAAUUACUGGGCGUAAAGGGCGCGUAGGCGGCUCGAUAAGUAGGGGGUGAAAUUCCGCGGCUCAACCGCGGGGCGGCCUUCUAAACUGUCGGGCUUGAGCACGGUAGAGGCGAAUGGAAUUCCCGGUGUAGCGGUGGAAUGCGUAGAGAUCGGGAAGAACACCAGUGGCGAAGGCGGUUCGCUGGGCCGUUGCUGACGCUGAGGCGCGACAGCGUGGGGAGCAAAC
Molecule: ribosomal RNA, 400 nt
Filed under: uncultured bacterium
Lineage: Bacteria
Description: bacterial SSU rRNA
Rfam family: Bacterial small subunit ribosomal RNA
Source: RNAcentral